Molecule: long non-coding RNA, 1560 nt
Filed under: Homo sapiens (human)
Lineage: Eukaryota; Metazoa; Chordata; Mammalia; Primates; Hominidae
Description: HSALNT0217119
Source: RNAcentral
CAUUGCAGCACCCCAUAGCACCCUCAACCUGAAACCACCACCCCCCCGCAACAGCCGUGCAGUGCAGCCCUGGAUAGGACACUUAGCCCACCUCACUGUUGCCAGCAAUACAGUCUGGGAUAGUUUCCCCAACAGGCUCCCCGCCGGGGGCAGUGCAGCCCCGGUUAGGGCCCCCAAACCACCCCCGGGUGCAGGCAGCACAGCCCCAGAUAGCACACCUAACCAGCCACCCAAGGUGGGCAGUGACGCCUGAGAUAGGGCCCCCAACCCGUCCCAGGCCAAGGGCAGUGCAGCCCUGGAUAGCGCACUUACCCCGACGCUUUUCUACACUCUGGCCGGUUGCAGUGUCCAUCGCUGCCACCAACCGCAGCGGGCAAGGCAAGCCAGCGAGGCAAGGCGAGGCAAGCCGGCGAGGUGGUGAGCCAGGGAGGCCAGCCACAGCCCGGUAGGCUGCAGCCUCCAGCAUGCAGUGGCUGGCACCUCCUACUCCAAGCUGGCAAUGGAGCAGCUAUGAAGUCAGAUGCCGACGAGGCUGGAAUAGUGCAACUCUAGCUCUUAACAUGCUUUAUAUACCGAGAUUAUAAACUACAUGUUCUGAUUGGAUGAGAGGAAAACACUAGGCCUACUCUGAUUGGACUUUAUUGUCACGUUCUGAUUGGUUAGCCUAAGACUUGUUCUGAUCCAAUCAGAACAUGAAAAUAACGUCCAAUCAGAGUAGGCGUAGAUGUUUCUCUCAUCCAAUCAGAACGUGAAGUCCGAGAACCAGGCCUGCACAACCCCCCAGUAUAUAAGGUAUGCUAAGGGGGCGUCGCGCUGUUGCAGGCUAUCGUGUGUUAACCUGUACUUCUGCCGCAGAGUUUGGAGAAAGCGGCAGCAGAUUGUGCUGCCGCAGGCUGGAGCCUGGAACCUGGAGCCCUGGAGCCUUGAAUGGUGUGUGGUGGCAAUGGAGAGAGGCAGCUGGCAGUGACAGCUGCUCCGUGCUUGGCUACAGGAAGGAAAGAAGGAGAAAGCACCUACCAUAGGCUGGAGGCUAGAGCCUGCAGGACUGCGGCUGGCCUCGCUGGCUCGCCUCCCUGGCUGGCCUCGCUGUGGUUGGUGGCAGCGACGGAUACUGCAGCUGGCCAGAGUGUAGAAAGGCAAUGGGGAGCGCAGUCCUGGUGGGCCCAGCGGUUCCUGUGGAUUGGAGCCAGGCAGUGUGAUGUUACCAGUCACCACUCCAGGUCCCAGUUCCUGGCCCGCUUGAGCCAAAAGGAGAGGCUGGACUUUGGAGGGUGGAUAUGAGUGCCUUCACUGAGACUGGCCCCUGCCACCCAGUGGCCAGGAUGACAAGGUGAGGCUCUAACGCUAUCAGUCUCUGCAUUCUCCUCUAGGCUUUUUUGGCUGUGUGUGUCCAGCUGUUCCAUGCCAGGAGGAGGAGGAGUUACAUGCUGGAAGCUUGCAGAUAGCCUGGGGCUGCUGCUCGCCUUGCUGCGGUUGGUGGCAGCUACCGAGACUACCUCGCACCAGAGCGAAUGCAUUCCUUCUACUUACAAACAAAAAAGUUAACUAAAAUAGCCUGAG